UACGUAGGGGGCUAGCGUUGUCCGGAUUUAUUGGGCGUAAAGAGCGUGUAGGCGGCCUGGUAGGUCUGCUGUGAAAACUCGAGGCUCAACCUCGAGAUGUCGGCGGAAACCAUCUGGCUAGAGUCCGGAAGAGGAGAGUGGAAUUCCUGGUGUAGCGGUGAAAUGCGCAGAUAUCAAGAAGAACACCCGUGGCGAAGGCGGCUCUCUGGGACGGUACUGACGCUGAGACGCGAAAGCGUGGGGAGCGAACAGG
Molecule: ribosomal RNA, 253 nt
Filed under: uncultured bacterium
Lineage: Bacteria
Description: partial 16S ribosomal RNA
Rfam family: Bacterial small subunit ribosomal RNA
Source: RNAcentral